AGAUUAUAACGAUCGAGCAUCGCUCGACCAUACAUACCUGUUACGGAGACGUGGAAAUAACCAGACGGAUCCAAAGCUGAAUGUAAUCGCUACGAUUAAACUUGGAUGAACACAGAGACUGAUAUUGGAUAUCCGCUGUCAUUGGACGUAAUGAGAUGGAUUGAGGGAAACUUAGGAAAUAGUUUCGCAUCUAUUACUUCUUAAU
Trachymyrmex cornetzi is the source of this 205-nucleotide long non-coding RNA. RefSeq lists it as uncharacterized. The record is from RefSeq and is a predicted model, not a curated record. The transcript has 3 exons. NCBI's taxonomy places the organism in Eukaryota, Metazoa, Arthropoda, Insecta, Hymenoptera, Formicidae.